Molecule: ribosomal RNA, 254 nt
Filed under: uncultured Bacteroidales bacterium
Lineage: Bacteria; Pseudomonadati; Bacteroidota; Bacteroidia; Bacteroidales
Description: partial 16S ribosomal RNA
Rfam family: Bacterial small subunit ribosomal RNA
Source: RNAcentral
UACGGAGGAUGCGAGCGUUAUCCGGAUUUAUUGGGUUUAAAGGGUGCGUAGGCUGUGAGGUAAGUCAGCGGUGAAAUGCCCCCGCUCAACGGGGUGAAGUGCCAUUGAUACUGCCUUGCUGGAAUGCGGAUGCCGUGGGAGGAAUGUGUGGUGUAGCGGUGAAAUGCAUAGAUAUCACACAGAACACCGAUUGCGAAGGCAGCCUGCCAAGCCAUGACUGACGCUGAUGCACGAAAGCGUGGGUAUCGAACAGG